GUUCAUCAGAGCUUCGUAGCUUUUCUCAUACAUGAAGCAAAAUCCUUCACCCCAACAGAGAUUAUUUGUUAUCUUCUAAAAUUCAUUAUUCAAGCUCCAAACAGAACAAAGAAAUUACACUUGACACAAAGACUUAGGUUAAAUGACGUCAUCUGAAUUGUUGAAAAUUGAGAGAUAUUGAACUUUUUCAUAUUCCCAAUACAGAUCCAUACUUACCGCCUUACUGUCUAUCCACAAAAAAGUUUACUGGACAGCUGUCAAUCACUGGAACUACAAAACCUACCCUGCUGUGUCACCCGUCAAUCUCACCACACUUUCUCAGAGGCCUUUUAGCGUGGUUCUUUUGCUCUGUUUUUAGAUAAACAGAUCCAAUUUCUUAACAAACAGGCUGCUACAGUCCUUUUGAUAACAUUGUAAUAAUUCAAAACAAAUGAUUCGUCUCUUUGAUGAUAGCACUUUUAUGGGUCACGAAGAAAUCCUCCCACCAACAUCUGUUUGAUUUUAUCUAUUUGAACUUUAUCCUCCAUUUGAAGAUUUAUAAGCUGAAAUCAUCCCAGGCUAUUAAAGUCAGCCUAAUG
Non-coding RNA from Chiloscyllium plagiosum (whitespotted bambooshark), 578 nucleotides. NCBI's taxonomy places the organism in Eukaryota, Metazoa, Chordata, Chondrichthyes, Orectolobiformes, Hemiscylliidae. The record is from RefSeq and is a predicted model, not a curated record.